GUGUACUUCAGUGGUAGAGCAUCUGCCUUCCUUGGCAGUGGUUCUGGGUUCGAAUCCCAGUAU
RNAcentral lists this transfer RNA (63 nucleotides) under Eutreptiella gymnastica. The record is from RNAcentral. Lineage: Eukaryota; Euglenozoa; Euglenophyceae; Eutreptiales; Eutreptiaceae.